GACGAACGCUGGCGGCGUGCUUAACACAUGCAAGUCGAACGGAAAGGCCCUGCUUUUGUGGGGUGCUCGAGUGGCGAACGGGUGAGUAACACGUGAGUAACCUGCCCUUGACUUUGGGAUAACUUCAGGAAACUGGGGCUAAUACCGGAUAGGAGCUCCUGCUGCAUGGUGGGGGUUGGAAAGUUUCGGCGGUUGGGGAUGGACUCGCGGCUUAUCAGCUUGUUGGUGGGGUAGUGGCUUACCAAGGCUUUGACGGGUAGCCGGCCUGAGAGGGUGACCGGCCACAUUGGGACUGAGAUACGGCCCAGACUCCUACGGGAGGCAGCAGUGGGAAUAUUGCACAAUGGGUGGAAGCCUGAUGCAGCAACGCCGCGUGCGGGAUGACGGCCUUCGGGUUGUAAACCGCUUUCGCCUGUGACGAAGCGUGAGUGACGGUAAUGGGUAAAGAAGCACCGGCUAACUACGUG
This 467-nucleotide ribosomal RNA is filed under the name uncultured bacterium. RNAcentral describes it as "partial 16S ribosomal RNA". It matches the Rfam family "Bacterial small subunit ribosomal RNA", at positions 28 to 507 of the family's 1533-position model. The record is from RNAcentral.